UUAACCGUAUAGGGGAGCCGGAGGGAAACCGAGUCUUAACCGGGCGUUAAGUUGCAGGGUAUAGACCCGAAACCCGGUGAUCUAGCCAUGGGCAGGUUGAAGGUUGGGUAACACUAACUGGAGGACCGAACCGACUAAUGUUGAAAAAUUAGCGGAUGACCUGUGGCUGGGGGUGAAAGGCCAAUCAAACCGGGAGAUAGCUGGUUCUCCCCGAAAGCUAUUUAGGUAGCGCCUCGUGAAUUCAUCUCCGGGGGUAGAGCACUGUUUCGGCUAGGGGGCCAUCCCGGCUUACCAACCCGAUGCAAACUGCGAAUACCGGAGAAUGUUAUCACGGGAGACACACGGCGGGUGCUAACGUCCGUCGUGAAGAGGGAAACAACCCAGACCGCCAGCUAAGGUCCCAAAGUCAUGGUUAAGUGGGAAACGAUGUGGGAAGGCCCAGACAGCCAGGAUGUUGGCUUAGAAGCAGCCAUCAUUUAAAGAAAGCGUAAUAGCUCACUGGUCGAGUCGGCCUGCGCGGAAGAUGUAACGGGGCUAAACCAUGCACCGAAGCUGCGGCAGCGA
RNAcentral lists this ribosomal RNA (564 nucleotides) under Salmonella enterica subsp. enterica serovar Kentucky. RNAcentral describes it as "bacterial LSU rRNA". It matches the Rfam family "Bacterial large subunit ribosomal RNA", at positions 646 to 1211 of the family's 2925-position model. Lineage: Bacteria; Pseudomonadati; Pseudomonadota; Gammaproteobacteria; Enterobacterales; Enterobacteriaceae. The record is from RNAcentral.